Long non-coding RNA from Callorhinus ursinus (northern fur seal), 295 nucleotides. RefSeq lists it as uncharacterized. NCBI's taxonomy places the organism in Eukaryota, Metazoa, Chordata, Mammalia, Carnivora, Otariidae. The record is from RefSeq and is a predicted model, not a curated record.
UACCCAGAUAUUUGGUCAAAUGCUCUUCUGGGUGUUUCUAUGAGGAUAUUCUUGGGUGAGAUUAACAUUUAAAUGGGAAGACCUUAACAAGAGAUUAACAUUUUAGUCAGUAAAGCAGAUUGCCUUAUAACAUGGGUGGGCUUCAUCCAAUCAGUUUAAGGCCUGAACAGACGGUAAACCGACCCUCCUCCAGGUUCCAGCCAAGGUCCAGAAAAGAUCCCACCAACAAAAAUAUGCCCUUGGCAUCUUCCUGAAGAGUAAGUUUCAUGCUGACAAAUAAACUCCUUUAAGACAA